UCCCGGGUCGUCUAACGGCAGGACAGGGCGUUUUGGUCGCUCUAAUGAGGGUUCGAUUCCUUCCCCGGGAG
Molecule: transfer RNA, 71 nt
Filed under: Actinomadura parmotrematis
Lineage: Bacteria; Bacillati; Actinomycetota; Actinomycetes; Streptosporangiales; Thermomonosporaceae
Description: Actinomadura sp. PM05-2 tRNA-Gln
Rfam family: tRNA
About the family: Transfer RNA (tRNA) molecules are approximately 80 nucleotides in length. Their secondary structure includes four short double-helical elements and three loops (D, anti-codon, and T loops).
Source: RNAcentral